Molecule: ribosomal RNA, 370 nt
Filed under: Klebsiella quasipneumoniae subsp. similipneumoniae
Lineage: Bacteria; Pseudomonadati; Pseudomonadota; Gammaproteobacteria; Enterobacterales; Enterobacteriaceae
Description: bacterial SSU rRNA
Rfam family: Bacterial small subunit ribosomal RNA
Source: RNAcentral
CCUUGGUUCUUCGGGAACUGUGAGACAGGUGCUGCAUGGUNUGUCGUCAGCUCGUGUUGUGAAAUGUUGGGUUAAGUCCCGCAACGAGCGCAAACCUUAUUCNUUGGUGGCCAGCGGUUCAGGCCGGGAACUCAAAGGAGACUGCCAGUGAUAAACUGGAGGAAGGUGGGGAUGACGUCAAGUCAUCAUGGCCCUUACGACCAGGGCUACACACGUGCUACAAUGGCAUAUACAAAGAGAAGCGACCUCGCGAGAGCAAGCGGACCUCAUAAAGUAUGUCGUAGUCCGGAUUGGAGUCUGCAACUCGACUCCAUGAAGUCGGAAUCGCUAGUAAUCGUAGAUCAGAAUGCUACGGUGAAUACGUUCCCGG